AGUUGUGGCAUAGGUUGUUCACUUUAUACCGCUUCUUAAUAUACACCAACUUCUCCAUACCUUUGCUUCAGUUACCACUCUCCCUAACUUUCUUUCUUCAACCAAAGAAACUCAUUCACUUUUUCUCUUCAUCUUUAAGAGGUUACAAUUUCAUUCAUUUCUAGUUUAUUAGUUACUUCUUUUGCAGCCAAUCAUUUCUAUAAGAAACUUUUGAACAAUAAAAUGAUUUUUUUUAUUAUGCUACUAGCUGAUUAAUUGAAACCAAACAUGGAGUUUUUUUUGUUUUGUUCAUAAUUAACAUGUCUAUUUCUCAUGUUACUAUAGUUAUAUUCAGCUACAUGUUUCUGUUAUAUAUCUGAAUUAUUAUGGAGUUUGAUGAAACUGCAGGUUGCAGGCGUUCAAAAUAAAUGAUUAGAAAUAUGUUGUUAUAGUUGGAAUCUUUUGAUUGUUGGCGUCUAUGGUAGAAUCAGUCGGGGCCUAAGAGGCAGUGGUUUACCCUGUGGCGGGUGUCAGUGGUUCAAGUCUGCUUAUCUCCAACUCGUGAACUUAGCCCAUGCAAAGCUAUACGAUAGCACCCAAUUUUUCCGAUUCGGCAGUUUGAUUUGUUGCCAAAUUUAGAAAUAUCGUACUCUUUACUUUGGACUACGGUUUUCAUUUAAAACUGUGAUUGUCUACGGCAUUGACUUUUGUUUAGACCAUAGUUUUUUUAACAUAUGACAAUAGUCUUCCAAUAUCAUUGCCCAGAUAAAUAAUAUAGGCAACAGUUUGGAAGAUCCUUAACGCCAAUGAUUUAAAUUUGUUGCUAAUAUAAAAAGUUGAAAACC
Molecule: long non-coding RNA, 824 nt
Filed under: Lupinus angustifolius (narrow-leaved blue lupine)
Lineage: Eukaryota; Viridiplantae; Streptophyta; Magnoliopsida; Fabales; Fabaceae
Description: long non-coding RNA (LANG_LNC001146)
Source: RNAcentral